CGAGAGUAAUAAAUGCUCUCAAGCGCUCCCCUUCUCUUAUUACAUUACACAACAGUCUGUGUUCAUUGCCUUGUGGGGUCUCUCUCUGUUUUCUGUGAAGACGAAGACAGCUGUUUCUGAGUUUUACUUCUUCUUUAUUCGUGUCUAUCUUCUUCUCCACCAAGAUUUUUACUUCAAACCCGCACAGAAACGACCUUUCUCUCUUUCUUCUUCCUUCUGAUUUCUCAGACAGUAGUGGUGACAAAAAACAUCGCUUUGAAAGAGACCAAAGACAGUCCACAAUCUCUCUCUCUCUCUGUUAAAGGAAGGAAGAGAAAUGACGAGAAGGGCGGAGUUCAAGCUAGGUCUCUUCGUGGUUCUUCAAUUCAUGUUUCUGCUAUCUCUAUGUUCAUCUGAGGAGUUCUUGCCUCAGAUAUCACCAGACACGUCUCCUCAACCAUUCCUUCCCUUCAUUGCUCCUUCUCCUAUGGCUCCUUACAUCAACACCACCAUCCCCAAGCUCUCUGGGCUAUGCUCGCUUAAUUUCACUGCUUCCGAGAGUUUGAUUCAGACAACAUCACACAACUGCUGGACUGUCUUUGCUCCAUUAUUAGCCAAUGUCAUGUGUUGUCCUCAGCUAGACGCUGCUCUCACCAUCAUCCUCGGCAAAGCGAGCAAAGAAACUGGUCAGCUUGCCUUAAACAGAACUCAGUCUAAGCACUGUCUCUCGGAUUUAGAGCAGAUCUUGGUAGGCAAAGGCGCUUCUAGCAAGCUUGGGAGUAUAUGUUCCCUUCACUCGUCGAAUCUCACAGCUUCUUCCUGCCCUGUGACCGACGUGGAUCAGUUCGAAAGCGCGGUGGAUACGUCUAAGCUUCUUUUGGCUUGUGAGAAAGUUGAUCCUGUCAAGGAGUGUUGCGAACAGGCUUGCCAAAACGCCAUACUCGACGCAGCUACUAAUAUAACUCUCAAUGCCUCUGAGCCUUUGAUGGAUAACUCGGUUCGGAUCAGUGAUUGUAAGAACAUAGUGCACCGUUGGCUCGCUACUAAACUUGACCCUUCUCAGGCUAAGGAAACUCUCAGAGGUUUAGCAAACUGCAAACUCAAUAGAGUUUGUCCUCUUGUGUUUCCACACAUGAGACACAUCAGUGCUAACUGCAGCAACGAGUUGAGUAACCAAACAAGUUGUUGCCGCGCAAUGGAGAGUUAUGUGUCUCAUCUGCAAAAGCAAUCACUUAUAACUAAUUUGCAAGCUUUGGACUGCGCAACCUCUCUUGGGACAAAGCUGCAGAAGCUAAACAUCACUAAGAAUGUCUUCACUGCUUGUCAUAUAAGUCUCAAAGACUUCUCUCUUCAAGUUGGAAACCAAGAAUCUGGUUGUCUGUUACCAAGCUUACCAUCCGAUGCAAUAUUCGAUCAAGACACGGGAAUAAGCUUCACUUGUGAUCUGAAUGACAACAUUCCUGCCCCAUGGCCUUCUUCAUCUCAGUCCUCAGCCUCUACCUGUAAAAAGACUGUUAGAAUCCCUGCUCUUCCUGCUGCAGCCUCCUCGCAACCCAGUCUCUACAAUGAGGGAGUGAAACGUUUGGUGAUCUUUGUAUUGUCUAUGGUUCUUGUGAUGCUUCUGUCAUGAUACCAGAACUAAACUGGGUUCACUCUUAUCUCUUACCGGUUUACUAGUAAUAGCUGUGGUUUUUGUGAUCAAACCGGUACAGUCAGCUGUCGGAAGUAGUAUGUUGACAUAACCGGUUCAAGUGCUUGAGUUGUUUGAGGCAUGCAUAUAAGCUUUGGGAUGGUGGAAAGAAGUGAUGGCUCUAUGAAUUUUGAUCAGGUUUUGCUUAUUUGACCUCCCAUGUGAUGUUUAAACAGCCAUUUUUGCAUGCCACAGAUUGUGUGACCAAAUGUUAUUCGUUUCAUAUCAUAGGUUUUUAGUUGCUAAUC
Molecule: RNA transcript, 1917 nt
Organism: Brassica napus (rape)
Lineage: Eukaryota; Viridiplantae; Streptophyta; Magnoliopsida; Brassicales; Brassicaceae
Exons: 9
Source: RefSeq, a predicted model, not a curated record